UACGGGGGGUGCAAGCGUUGUUCGGAAUUACUGGGCGUAAAGGGCGCGUAGGCGGGCGGGCAAGUCCCUCGUGAAAGCCCUCGGCUCAACCGUGGAAUUGCGGGGGAAACUGCUCGUCUUGAGUCCGGUAGAGGAGUGUGGAAUUCCCAGUGUAGCGGUGAAAUGCGUAGAUACUGGGAGGAACACCGGUGGCGAAGGCGGCACUCUGGACCGGUACUGACGCUGAGGCGCGAAAGCUAGGGGAGCAAACGGG
RNAcentral lists this ribosomal RNA (253 nucleotides) under uncultured bacterium. RNAcentral's name for it is "partial 16S ribosomal RNA". It matches the Rfam family "Bacterial small subunit ribosomal RNA", at positions 524 to 776 of the family's 1533-position model. The record is from RNAcentral.